This is an RNA transcript of Alosa alosa (allis shad), 2218 nucleotides long. It is a transcript of the gene named RAB3A interacting protein (rabin3)-like 1, with no coding region annotated. NCBI's taxonomy places the organism in Eukaryota, Metazoa, Chordata, Actinopteri, Clupeiformes, Clupeidae. The transcript is spliced from 10 exons. The record is from RefSeq and is a predicted model, not a curated record.
CCGAACUGAAGUUUGUGAUUAACUGUGUAUGUGACAGACUUAUGUUCGAGAAACGUUAACUGAACAGCAGAUGCCCAUUUAAAGCAAGCUGUAGCCUACUAGAGAAAGUAAUGUUAGCCUGCAGAUAAUUUUGUGCACGCGUGAGACUUGCACUCGCAGAUCUGAUGGGCACAAUCAAACACGUCCUUUGAGAUUCUGGAAAGUUUGUGGAAAGUGGGCUGAACCUGCAUUCCUGGAUAGGACCAAAGGCGGAGUCCAUCAGAAGAAGAAAAAAGUAUCUGGACUGCUCCGAGAAAAGACACAUUCUGUCACAAAAUAAAGCAAGCUCAACAAGUCAUGGCACACAGGAGGCCACAUCCAUGACCUUGACUACCUGGGUUCAGUGUCUGGAAAAUGGAUGUAUUUGAAGGGAUCCACAGGGUGCAGCUCUCCCCCUCUCCAUCUGCGAUUGCCCCGUCUGGCCCUGGGUAUGAAGUGGUGGUGGCUGACCGUUCAGGGAUUGCUGUCUACUCUUCCCCUGUGUUUUUUGGCAAAGUGGACGAGCGAGCAUCAAAGUACAAAUCCACCACAAAGACAGCAGAAGAAAGAUGUCCUGUUGGAAGGCUAGUCGACCUGGAUACGGAUCCGGGACCCAGCGCAGGAGGGGGACAGAUUGCGGCGAUGCCUCAGGGGGAGGAGGACUCCCGUGGAGGGGAACAUUACAACGUGUCCCGUCUGCGGAGCUCAUCAAUAGAGAUAAGGGAGAAAGGGGCCGAGUUUCUUCGGGAGCAGUUGGAUGCCGCUCAGAAGGAGUUGAAACUCAAGGGAGAGGAAUGUGAACGCCUCUCUCAUGUUCGCAACCAGCUUGAGCAGGAGCUGGAAGAACUGACUGCCAGCCUUUUUGAGGAGGCCCAUAAAAUGGUGCGUGAAGCUAAUGUGAAACAGGCUACCGCUGAAAAACAACUGAAAGAGGCUCAGGGAAAGAUUGAUGUCCUGCAGGCUGAGGUAACUGCCCUGAAGACCCUGGUGCUGACCUCCACCCCCUCCUCCCCCAACCGGCAGCUGCACCCCCAGCUCCUGUCCCCGGGCACCAGAGGGGCGCUGAGGGGGCACACCCGAAACAAGAGUGCCAGCAGCAUCCUCUCCGGCUUCCACAACCAGGCUGAGGCCAGCCCCGUGGACCUACAGGCAGCCAGCAAGGAAGACAAGGAGGUGGAUUCAGUUCUGUAUGCAGAGUUCCUGUCCUGGAGAGAGGCCCCCAGUCUGGCCAGCUCCUCUGCGUUCAUGAGCCGGGUUUAUAGAGAGGACAUCGGGCCUUGCCUGUCCUUCAAUCGCUCGGAGUUAUCUCAGUCAGUGCAGAGUGCGGUGGAGAGCAACUCUCUGACCAUUGAGCCUGUGGCCAUGAGUGCCUUGCCUCUGGUGAAGGCCUCGGCCAUUGAGUGUGGGGGACCCAAGUAGCUGUUGAGGGUCUCACCUCUCCUUCCCAAAGACUCAACAAGCUGUGGUUGUAUGUUGUCAAUUUGUGGAAAAUGUCGUCUUGCUAGUACAACAACAUAGCAGUACUGUCACAGUAACCUUUUGUAGUAUCUUGCUGUAGUCCUUCCUACACAAUGAGUUGCAUCCCACUGCCAGUUUAGUGCAUGCUUGCAUUAGACAUAGUCCAAAUGCUAAUUGAUAGUAAACAAAAUUCUCUCUUGUUUCUGAAGAAAAUCAAAUCAAGUAUUGCCCUGUAGAAAUACAAAUCCCAAGGUCUUUGCUGGUGUUUGGCUCAAGUCUUUCAAACGUAUGUUCUUUAGCUAUGCUCCUUUCCCAUUGCUAGUAGUCUGUUUCAUAGGCCGUAUAACCAGGAUUCCUCUGUGGUCAUGGAAACUGUACAUACUGUGUACUAUACAUAGUGUUUACCUUUAAGGGAAAGUAAUGAUUCAAAUAGAUACAUUUUAAUUAUCACUUGUAAUGAAAAGUUGCAAAAUAUUACUUUGAGAGAUUUUUUUGGAGUUUAACUUGGUAACUAGUUAAAAUGACCCGGAAGAAGAAGCCUGUGUUAUGGCAGAGGAUCCAAGCAUUUUUCAUUUGAAUCAUUAGAAAUCACUGCUCCACAUCACGCUUUUUAAUCUCCGUUCGAUUUGAAAUUGUUUCUUUCAGUGGCUGGAGAGGUGCUGUAGAGACGAAGUGCGCCUUGAGUGGCAUGUCCCGGCCCUGUCGCCAUCGCAUCAAACUGGGAGACAAAGAGAGCUACUAC